This 20-nucleotide microRNA is filed under the name Ophiophagus hannah (king cobra). Its description in RNAcentral is "oha-miR-133b-5p". Its record names the gene oha-miR-133b-5p. Lineage: Eukaryota; Metazoa; Chordata; Lepidosauria; Squamata; Elapidae. The record is from miRBase by way of RNAcentral.
GCUGGUCAAAAGGAACCAAG